UGGCUCUGGCCAGGGCUCCUAUCCGUGUC
RNAcentral lists this non-coding RNA (29 nucleotides) under Homo sapiens (human). The record is from RNAcentral. Lineage: Eukaryota; Metazoa; Chordata; Mammalia; Primates; Hominidae.